UCUCAUCCGCAUUUUACAUGUCAAAGUAGCGUCUGCUCUGUCUUUACCCUUCGCCCAUCCGAAACCCUAGCACCGUCGCACUGCGGCCGUUCCUCCAUCACGACGACGCCGUUUCCUCUUCGUCUUCUCCUUCAGAAUCACUGAGAGUCGGUCUUUCUUCAUCCGGCUUCAGCUUUCAACUGUGUAAAUAAUUUACGGUUUUGCCCUACCUCCUCUCUCUCCUUUUCUCUUUCAGUUGCGCUGCUUUGCUCCUCAUCUUCCCCAAAUCCUUAAUUUUGAUCCCGAUCGGUUUUUCCUAACCCUAUUUUUGUCUUACAAAUUACUGUUGAAGGCUGUGAAGCAAUGGAAGCAAUUGAAGCGAUUAGCAAGCCGAUCUUUGAGUGUAAGAGGUCUUGAUUGCACCGUGGGUUACGGGGCUUUUCUUUUGAGGAUUGAGGAAGGAUUUGAAAAUUAUCUUCGAUGGUUCAGCUUCUAACAAUGGUUGGAGCUAGAGUUCUGUCUUAAUUUUGCUUUCGAGCUUUUGGAUUCAGACUUGCUGAUAGUUAUUGGUCUAGUAGACAGAAAUGGACCCAAAGAUCGCAAAGGCAUUGGAUAGUGGUCGUAGAGUUAUGCUCGACUUAAAGAGAAAGCGGGCAACUCGGUAUGCUGCAAAUUUUCCUGGAGCUACCCACAGAGCGUUACCACAGAGGCCGAACUUGAAUAAGCUUGGCAAGCGAAGGAAAUUGUAUGGAACCAAAAGCAAGUCCAUGAGCUGUGGACCUCGUUUUAGACGAUCCUUGCUUGCAUCUUAUUCAAAUUUUGCAAGGAGCAGUGUGCCACAGCGUCUGAUGUUUUAUCAGAAUGGUGAAUGGACUGAUUUUCCUCGGGAUCUUGUUGACUUGGUUAGGAAAGAUCUACAGGUGAAGAAGGCAGCUAUGAACAUCAAAUCACAAGGUGAACAUUAUUUGUUAGAUUUUUUGCAUAUGUUCCGUUUGGACUUGAAGACUGGCCUACAGCAACCUAUUGCUUGGAUUGAUGAAACUGGUAGUUGUUUCUUUCCUGAAAUUUAUGCUGAGGAGGAUGAUGAGCCAAGUUGGAACUGCCUGCCUGAAGGUGUGAAAGAUCUGGAACCCUGGGUUGAAGAUCAUUGUGGGUCGCGUGAGAUUAAACUGCACCUGGAAAUUGAAAUAAAUGGAGUGGGUCAAUCUGGGUUGAAUGAAUGUAGUGGGGAGUCAAAUGGUUUUGUAAAGAAAAUUCAGAUUGAUCACAUACCUGCCAAUAAUUGUGCUGGUAUGGAAGUUGAAAAUAGUUGCAACAGGAAACAUGGUCUAAAAGUUGAUGAAGAUGUUGAGGGCAAUGAAGAGAUGAAGAAUAAUUUAACUAGAACAACUGACACUGAAAAUGGAAAGUUGGAUUGUGAUACGGUGCAAAAUAUAUUUCUGAAAGGAGUGAGCACCUUUGAUGGUGUAGAAGUACUGGAUAUAUACCAAUGCUCAAGUAAUCUGAUGCAAGCUCGUUUGGAACUUUUUCAGAAGCAGGUAGAAAUUACUAAAGCAUUUCGUGGCGAUGCAAAUGUACGAUAUGCUUGGCUUGCUUCUUCAAAGGGGGAGCUUUCGACUAUAAUGAUGUAUGGGCUUGGUCAUUGUGGACUAGCGACAAACAAGUCCAUAUAUGGCACUGGUGUUCAUCUCACAGCAGCUAGCUUCUCUAACACCUGUGCAAGUUAUUGUGAUGUUGACGAAAACGGGGCACGACACAUGUUAUUCUGUCGUGUCAUAGUGGGAAAUAUGGAGUUACUUCACCCUGGAAGUAAACAAUUCCAUCCCGGUAGCAAGGACUUUGAUAGUGGAGUGGAUGAUCUUCAGGAUCCAAAACAUUACAUUGUCUGGAAUAUGAACAUGAAUACACACAUAUACCCAGAAUUUGUUGUAAGUUUCAAGGUCUCAUCGAAGAGUGAAGGGCAUCUGGUUGGGACUGAGAAUAAGCUUGGUGUUUCCGGGGUUGCGACAUCUUGCCAUGGACCUCAGGGCUUGAUGCAAUUGGAAUCGUCAGCAGUUGAUACAGGGAGUGAAAAUCAGCCAAAUUCCGAUUCUGGGAAGUCUCAUGGAAGCAAUGGUCAAAUGGUGUCAAAGUCUGGGAGAUAUCAGGGGGAAACCACAGCUACUGGUUCUACUCCUGAAAGAACCCCUAAAUCCCCCUGGAUGCCUUUCCCUAUGUUAUUUGCUGCUAUUGGAAAUGAAGUUCCUCCCAAAGAUAUGGAACAAAUUAAUAUUCAUUAUGACUUAUUCAGGGCAAAAAAGAUAUCUCGUGAUGAAUUUGUGAAAAAAUUGAGGUUGAUUGUGGGAGAUACUUUGUUGAGGUCUACGAUAACGGAGCUUCAAUGCAAGAUACCCUAUAAAAGCCAAGAGUGAACUGGAAGUGCCAAAGACAGGUCCACGCUUUCUCUAGUUGAUGGUAGCAUGCGCCUGUCUCUGAAUCUGGUAUAAUGCCUUCCCAUGAAGUUUCAUAUAUCUGAAAAUAAAGAUUGUUUGAAGCUCGCAUGGUAGUAAUGCGUCGACAUGAAGUAAAUGUUAUCAGGGACCUAGAUAAGAUAUGAUUAAUCUUCAGUAAAAACUGAAUGGACGGUUGGUAUGAAUUGGCGACUUGCUCACCUGGGCUAUCAAGGUAGCGUGCACCUUUAAUUACUGAAAAAAAUUUAUUGUCUGUAAUACAUUUAUUGACCACUUUGCGGAUCAUCUGGGCUCCACUAAAGUACGUGGGAUUUGGAUGUAUUAGAGUAGAUAGCAAUGUGGGACUUGAUAGCAGUAUUUAGCAAUGUGGUAGAAAUAGCAGUAGAUGGCAAUGUGUUAGAAAUAGCAGUAGAUGGCAAUGUGGGAGAAAUAGCAGUAGAUGGCAAUGUGGUAGAAAUAGCAGCAAUAUUAAAGAAUUAGUCUUUACUUUUAAAAUUGUUAAAUUUUUUGAAUAAUCAGUCUUAACUGGGUAUACCCAAUGGCACUCA
Prunus mume (Japanese apricot) is the source of this 2977-nucleotide non-coding RNA. Lineage: Eukaryota; Viridiplantae; Streptophyta; Magnoliopsida; Rosales; Rosaceae. The record is from RefSeq and is a predicted model, not a curated record.